This 484-nucleotide ribosomal RNA is filed under the name uncultured bacterium. Its description in RNAcentral is "partial 16S ribosomal RNA". It matches the Rfam family "Bacterial small subunit ribosomal RNA", at positions 30 to 507 of the family's 1533-position model. The record is from RNAcentral.
AUUGAACGCUGGCGGCAGGCCUAACACAUGCAAGUCGAGCGGAUGAAGGGAGCUUGCUCCUGGAUUCAGCGGCGGACGGGUGAGUAAUGCCUAGGAAUCUACCUGGUAGUGGGGGAUAACGUCCGGAAACGGGCGCUAAUACCGCAUACGUCCAGAGGGAGAAAGUGGGGGAUCUUCGGACCUCACGCUAUCAGAUGAGCCUAGGUCGGAUUAGCUAGUUGGUGGGGUAAAGGCCUACCAAGGCGACGAUCCGUAACUGGUCUGAGAGGAUGAUCAGUCACACUGGAACUGAGACACGGUCCAGACUCCUACGGGAGGCAGCAGUGGGGAAUAUUGGACAAUGGGCGAAAGCCUGAUCCAGCCAUGCCGCGUGUGUGAAGAAGGUCUUCGGAUUGUAAAGCACUUUAAGUUGGGAGGAAGGGCAGUAAGAUAAUACCUUGCUGUUUUGACGUUACCAACAGAAUAAGCACCGGCUAACUUCGUG